RNAcentral lists this ribosomal RNA (427 nucleotides) under uncultured bacterium. RNAcentral's name for it is "partial 16S ribosomal RNA". It matches the Rfam family "Bacterial small subunit ribosomal RNA", at positions 355 to 774 of the family's 1533-position model. The record is from RNAcentral.
UGGGGAAUAUUGGACAAUGGGCGAAAGCCUGAUCCAGCCAUGCCGCGUGUGUGAAGAAGGUCUUCGGAUUGUAAAGCACUUUAAGUUGGGAGGAAGGGCAUUAACCUAAUACGUUAGUGUUUUGACGUUACCGACAGAAUAAGCACCGGCUAACUCUGUGCCAGCAGCCGCGGUAAUACAGAGGGUGCAAGCGUUAAUCGGAAUUACUGGGCGUAAAGCGCGCGUAGGUGGUUUGUUAAGUUGGAUGUGAAAUCCCCGGGCUCAACCUGGGAACUGCAUUCAAAACUGACUGACUAGAGUAUGGUAGAGGGUGGUGGAAUUUCCUGUGUAGCGGUGAAAUUCGUAGAUAUAGGAAGGAACACCAGUGGCGAAGGCGACCACCUGGACUAAUACUGACACUGAGGUGCGAAAGCGUGGGGAGCAAACA